UUCGCACUACAGGAAAAGAGACAAAGAGUUGGUUGUACGAGGGAUCGGGGAAAGAGCCCACCCAAGUCAUCGGGAGCAGAAGAAGUGGGAGCAGGAAGAAGAAAAGUGAACAACAACGAUCAUUUAGAGUUCUUCUGUGUCUCUCACACACAAAGGAGUUCGCAAUGCAACAGCUGAAGAGUCCCACCGGGGAAAUGGCGGCACGGAAGAGGCAAGCACCUCCCACUUCUAAUCAGCAUGUCACAAACGCAGCUGAUGAGAGGGGCGUGGCGCUUCAUGACUAGCUCCAGCACCUGGGAGGCUGAGGCAGGACUGCUAUCAAGAUGUGUACUGUCAGCUGCUCCAGCAAACACGGCUGCUGCUUCCUGCCACAUGCCUGGGCAUGACAGACCCUUAGCCCACUGAAACCAUAAAUCAAAUUAAAUGUUUUCUUUUAUAA
Molecule: long non-coding RNA, 439 nt
Organism: Mesocricetus auratus (golden hamster)
Lineage: Eukaryota; Metazoa; Chordata; Mammalia; Rodentia; Cricetidae
Exons: 2
Source: RefSeq, a predicted model, not a curated record